UACGGAGGGGGCGAGCGUUGUCCGAAGUUACUGGGCGUAAAGCGCGCGUAGGCGGGUUGGUAAGUCCGCUGUGAAAGCCCGGAGCUCAACUCCGGAGGGUCGGUGGAUACUGCCAGUCUUGAAGGUGCUAGGGGGAGAUGGAAUUACCGGUGUAGCGGUGAAAUGCGUAGAGAUCGGUAGGAACACCGGUGGCGAAGGCGGUCUCCUGGGGCAUUCUUGACGCUGAGGCGCGAAAGCUGGGGGAGCGAACGGG
RNAcentral lists this ribosomal RNA (253 nucleotides) under uncultured bacterium. RNAcentral describes it as "partial 16S ribosomal RNA". It matches the Rfam family "Bacterial small subunit ribosomal RNA", at positions 524 to 776 of the family's 1533-position model. The record is from RNAcentral.